UCUCAUCUCCUCCAGGACACCCAGAAGACCGGCUUUGAAGAACACCUGAGACACAGUUAAAUGAAGAAGAAAGAACAAAAGGAUGGAUAGAUCAACUGGAGAGAUUUUAUAUGGUUUCUUACAUAGAUCAUCCAUGCUGCAUAACGCUCUUUGAGGUUAUACAACACAGAGGCUUCAUUCAGG
Long non-coding RNA from Coregonus clupeaformis (lake whitefish), 183 nucleotides. RefSeq lists it as uncharacterized. The record is from RefSeq and is a predicted model, not a curated record. The transcript is spliced from 3 exons. NCBI's taxonomy places the organism in Eukaryota, Metazoa, Chordata, Actinopteri, Salmoniformes, Salmonidae.